Molecule: small nucleolar RNA, 78 nt
Organism: Phymastichus coffea
Lineage: Eukaryota; Metazoa; Arthropoda; Insecta; Hymenoptera; Eulophidae
Product: small nucleolar RNA U43
Exons: 1
Source: RefSeq, a predicted model, not a curated record
AUGAUGAUUUAGAUCUAAUUUGUUUAUGGUUUUUAACUGAAAAACAAUGUAGAAAAUAUUCUAGGGCGGUCUGAUCAA